GGAACGAACGGGUAAACCUUGAGUGAUCAAGGGGCACAAAGCCACGGGUCUUAAGAAGCGCGAAAUUCGCGGAAAAAAGACCGCGGAUUAAAAGCAAAAAAGACAGCCGGGUUGCCGAA
Molecule: non-coding RNA, 119 nt
Filed under: Candidatus Omnitrophota bacterium
Lineage: Bacteria; Pseudomonadati; Candidatus Omnitrophota
Description: Omnitrophica WOR c-di-GMP sequence
Rfam family: c-di-GMP-I riboswitch aptamer
About the family: GEMM was predicted in a large-scale screen for bacterial structured RNA regulatory elements.
Source: RNAcentral